RNAcentral lists this long non-coding RNA (745 nucleotides) under Vitis vinifera (wine grape). Its description in RNAcentral is "long non-coding RNA (VVIN_LNC004905)". Lineage: Eukaryota; Viridiplantae; Streptophyta; Magnoliopsida; Vitales; Vitaceae. The record is from RNAcentral.
CGCCUCUCAUAAGCCGGCUUCUCGUAGCCCUCCUCUUCUUGCCCCUCAUUACUUGGCCUCCCAUAACUAGGCCUCCUCGGUGGCUCCUCCACCUCCGGACUCUCGUAGCUCGGCCUCCCAUACUGUGGCUUCCUGGGGGACCCUUCCCCACCAUAACCAUACCCGCCACCUUGUUCCUCUCCGAAGCUAGGUUUCCGACCGUACCCAGAUCCAUAUUCAGAACUCGGUGCUUCGUACUCAGGCCUCCGACCAUACCCAGAUCCAUACUCCGAACUGGGCUGCUCGAACUCGGGCCUCCGACCAUACCCAGAUCCAUACUCCGAACUAGGUUGCUCGUAUUCAGGCUUCCGACCGUACCCAGAUCCAUAUUCCGUGCUAGGCUGUUCGUAUUCAGGCUUCCGACCGUACCCAGAUCCAUAUUCCGAGCUAGGCUGUUCGUAUUCAGGCUUCCGACCGUACCCAGAUCCAUAUUCCGAGCUAGGCUGUUCGUAUUCAGGCUUCCGACCGUAGCCAGAUCCAUAUUCCGAGCUAGGCUGUUCGCAUUCAGGCUUCCGACCGUACCCGGAUCCGUACUCCGAACUGGGUUCCUCGUAAUCAGGCUUCCGCCCAUGCCCAGAUCCAUACUCACCCUCCCCACCAAAACUCGACGGCGGCUUCGGCUGAUACCCAUACUCACCACCAUCACCACUGCCUCCGAACCCUCCUUGGCCAGGAGGUGGUCCGGCGUAACCAAGGACCGGACGAG